GAUUAACGCUGGCGGCAUGCCUAACACAUGCAAGUCGAACGAGAUCUUCGGAUCUAGUGGCAGACGGGUGAGGAACACGUGGGAACAUCCCUUUCAGUUCGGAAUAACGUUGGGAAACUAACGCUAAUACCGGAUACGUCCUUCGGGAGAAAGAUUUAUCGCUGAAAGAUUGGCCCGCGUCUGAUUAGCUAGUUGGUGAGGUAACGGCUCACCAAGGCUACGAUCAGUAGCCGAUCUGAGAGGAUGAUCAGCCACAUUGGGACUGAGACACGGCCCAAACUCCUACGGGAGGCAGCAGUGGGGAAUAUUGGACAAUGGGCGCAAGCCUGAUCCAGCCAUGCCGCGUGAGUGAUGACGGCCUUCGGGUUGUAAAGCUCUUUUGUCCGGGAAGAUAAUGACUGUACCGGAAGAAUAAGCCCCGGCAAACUUCGUGCCAGCCGCCGCAGUAA
Molecule: ribosomal RNA, 449 nt
Filed under: uncultured bacterium
Lineage: Bacteria
Description: partial 16S ribosomal RNA
Rfam family: Bacterial small subunit ribosomal RNA
Source: RNAcentral